ACAGUUAGUUGAGUAUCCCAGUUGUGAAUAAGGUUGUUUGGGAUUUACCGGUAUUAUUAAAAUGAUUCACAAAACUGCGUUGUUUUAUGUACUUCGGGUCAUAAUAUGAAAUUCAGUAACAGAAUUUAUAAAUUGAAGUUCAUAUAAGUUUAGUAUGACUUGUAUAACCGCAGUUUUGUUUCUGUAGAUAGCUUCUUAUGCGCGAAUGUUACAUAGUACUGUGCUCAGGAAAGUAUGAGUCUAUAUAGUGCACAACGUGAGUGAUGAGUGUGCCCCUUUUUGCCAUCCGUUGUGUAGUUGGCGUGUAUGAUGCUCUUUUUGUUUAGGUCGUUCGCGUGUCUUGUUUACAAUAUGGCUCGAAGUUGUUUGUGGUGGAGGUGGGGGGGGAGUGGUGGUAUGUAGGUGUAGUAGAGAUGAUGUGUGUAUUGUAGAUUGCGAUGAUGCGCAUCCGCCUUUACCAGAACUUCACAUGUAAUGUUUUUUGUUUAAUCUGAAUUCUGUUGUCUCUAAUUCUAGUGUAGCCCGAGUUCUGGAGUCAACGGAAGCGUCAGAUUCCACCCGUCUGGUUUGACCCGUGACGUUAUGGAUGUUGUGGUCUGUGACAUUACGGCGCUGAGUUUAGUUUGAGUUGGUUGUUUGUAGAUGUCUUCUUGUGUUUGAUGGUUCCCUCUGGUGAUGUGUGUAUGUAUGUGCGUUGUCUUAUGUGGUGUAUUGGGUUUAUUUGAACUUUGGUUUUGGAAGAGCGGAGUUGUUGGCAUUGUUCAUGACGUAAGGAUUGAAAUUGUUUUCAGUGAGUUAUUAGUUUUAUUGUGUUCUGUUUACGUGUCAGCGUUUUUGAUACGUUUUAUUGGUUUGCUGUUUGUGGUGCGGUAAGACGUUUAAUUUAUUGCAUGGAUUCUCUUUUUAGGUGUGAAUAUGAUGAUAAACUGAAAUAGCACCAUGUUGCGGGCGGAGAUGGGAGAGGAUAUGUUGUCCUCGAUUAAGUUCCUGCAGGUGUUUGGAUUAAUAGCGGAAAUUGUGAAGUGUGGCGUUUUGCCGAGAGUAUAUGCGGUUGGCGAUAGUUCCGGCGUCUCGGACCACUGACGUGUACAUGUGUUGGUGUUGGAAGGACAAUGUUUGGAGCUCCUGUAGACGCGGUACCUGGUUCGAGAAAUCUAGGUAUGUCACAUGGAGCACUUAACUAAACAAACUUCAUUCUCAGCUAGAGUUUGAUGCAAGCUAUCGAACUGUUCACCAUUCCACCGCCUUACAGAACCACCCACUGUAACUGUUUUGAAGCCAUAGUUGCUUGCACCAUUCUCCCAGAGGUGGACUUGGGGAUGUAUUUGGGGGAGGAGUGAAACAGUCGGUCAGAACUAGUCGUACAGCGAAAAUUUGAGGGAGCCAUCUGGAGGUGGCAUUGAGGCAGCAACACCAUACAUCACAACCUGUCCGUGAUGCGUCCGGCGCCAUCACCACAUACAGUUCAAUUUUUGGCUACCCUCACCACAUGUGGGGGUAUCAGUGACUCCGUAGCAGCAUCCGUGCCCAUCGUGGAUGCCGUCCAUGUGUGUUGGACCAUCACAGGUGCAUUGGUCAUACAAUUUUGAUGCAAAAGUGAACCUGAAAACAUGAUAAAACGUGGACGCCUCUGGAGAAAGCUCAGUGUGUGUGGCCCGGUAGAUACAGACGAUACCUGAUGACCAAAUGCAACGAACCUUUCAGACUUGGAAUACAUCAUUUAUGGAAACAGGUCAUGCAAUUUUGAUGCGAAAUGGAACCUGAAAACCUGAAAAAAUGUGGAUGCUACUGGAUAAAGCUCAGUGUGUGUGGCCUGGUAGAUACAGACGAUAUCAGAUACCCAAGUGCAAUGAUCCUUUCGGACUUGGAAUACAUCAUUUAUGGAAACAGCUAUGGAAUGGAAUAAAAAGAGCUUUCAAGUUAUAAUUGAAGAAUACAGCAAGAAAAGGUCUCUCUAUGACCUAACAGGUACUUUGUACCACAAUAAGGCAAUCUACAUAUCUACAAAUGUUUGAUUCUGAGAUUAUACAAGCUGUAUUAUUUCAGCACGCCAGGAAGGAAAGCUUGGCCAGAAUAGGAGAAAAAGUGAGAAAAGUUGUGUCUGGUGUGACGAACGAGGAAUGUGAAGCAUGCUUAGCCUCCUUACGUUUGCAUUAUUCAGCUGAACUCAAAAAGAUGUGGGGAAAAAUGCGCAGUAGCUCAGGCGGGACCACCCGUAAACCAAGCGUGUGGUGGUUUGACCUAUUGGCAUAUUUGAAAGACCACAUUAUGCAUAGAAAACUGCUGACAGAUAUCCCACUCUCUGUCUACUCAAGAGACAUUUACAGUGGGGUGUGCAGUUGAGAACAGUUCUCCAUCUACCCCUCAGUGCUCACCAGAAUUAUCCAAAGUGGGGCACUAUGCCACUUCCAAGAAGCAGGCCAAAGAUGUCCUGGUAAGCAGCACAUUGUCAAUGCUGCGAGGCAAACAAACAGCAAUGAGGAUGGCAAGUUGGGCCAGUAUGUUGCAGCUGAGCUGAUUACAACUAAAAAUAGAAAAUUGAAGGCAGAGACAAAGUGCCUUAUCACGAAUGUCAUCAUGGGUGCAAUUCAGAAAGUUACUGAUUGUUAAUUUUUAAAUAAAAGAUUGAAAAUUAAAAA
This is a long non-coding RNA of Schistocerca nitens (vagrant locust), 2639 nucleotides long. RefSeq lists it as uncharacterized. The transcript has 8 exons. The record is from RefSeq and is a predicted model, not a curated record. NCBI's taxonomy places the organism in Eukaryota, Metazoa, Arthropoda, Insecta, Orthoptera, Acrididae.